Non-coding RNA from Camellia sinensis, 367 nucleotides. The record is from RefSeq and is a predicted model, not a curated record. Lineage: Eukaryota; Viridiplantae; Streptophyta; Magnoliopsida; Ericales; Theaceae.
CUGAAAAGAAAGCAGCCUGGACUCUGCAUCACAAAAAUAUACAGGGGUUGAUUGGUUAGCACAAGAGUGAAAGUGCUACAGUAGUUGUCUAUCCUUUUACCAGAAGAUGGAUACUGGACAGAUUUAUCCAUGGAUCAAAGGGAAAGCAGGUCAAAUUGACAUUUCAAGAAAAAAUAAAGAUAGCAAUAGGAAUUGGUCAAGGUAUUCGAUACAUGCACGAAGGAUGUCCUCGGGGCCCUAUUGUUCAUGGUGACUUGCGGCCAUGCAAUAUUUUCCUGAAUUUUGACUUAGAGCCACUGAUCUUUGGAUUUGGGAAAUCUACAUGGCUGCAGCUAAAACAAGCCUUACCAAUUUCUAGUAACAACAU